AACGAACGCUGGCGGCAGGCCUAACACAUGCAAGUCGAGCGGACCCUUCGGGGUUAGCGGCGGACGGGUGAGUAACGCGUGGGAAUAUGCCCUUCUCUACGGAAUAGUCCCGGGAAACUGGGGGUAAUACCGUAUACGCCCUUUGGGGGAAAGAUUUAUCGGGGAAGGAUUAGCCCGCGUUGGAUUAGGUAGUUGGUGGGGUAAUGGCCUACCAAGCCGACGAUCCAUAGCUGGUUUGAGAGGAUGAUCAGCCACACUGGGACUGAGACACGGCCCAGACUCCUACGGGAGGCAGCAGUGGGGAAUCUUAGACAAUGGGGGCAACCCUGAUCUAGCCAUGCCGCGUGAGUGAUGAAGGCCUUAGGGUUGUAAAGCUCUUUCAGCUGGGAAGAUAAUGACGGUACCAGCAGAAGAAGCCCCGGCUAACUCCGUG
This 433-nucleotide ribosomal RNA is filed under the name uncultured bacterium. RNAcentral's name for it is "partial 16S ribosomal RNA". It matches the Rfam family "Bacterial small subunit ribosomal RNA", at positions 29 to 507 of the family's 1533-position model. The record is from RNAcentral.